GAUGAACGCUAGCGGCAGGCCUAAUACAUGCAAGUCGAACGGUCUCUAGCAAUAGAGAUAGUGGCGCACGGGUGCGUAACGCGUAACCAACCUACCCAAAUCUGGGGGAUAGCCCGCCGAAAGGCGGAUUAAUACCGCAUAAAACAACAGAACGGCAUCGUUUAAUUGUUAAAGAUUUAUUGGAUUCGGAUGGGGUUGCGUGCCAUUAGCUAGUUGGCGGGGUAACGGCCCACCAAGGCGACGAUGGCUAGGGGAGCUGAGAGGCUGGUCCCCCACACGGGCACUGAGAUACGGGCCCG
RNAcentral lists this ribosomal RNA (299 nucleotides) under uncultured bacterium. RNAcentral's name for it is "partial 16S ribosomal RNA". It matches the Rfam family "Bacterial small subunit ribosomal RNA", at positions 28 to 334 of the family's 1533-position model. The record is from RNAcentral.